RNAcentral lists this ribosomal RNA (253 nucleotides) under uncultured bacterium. Its description in RNAcentral is "partial 16S ribosomal RNA". It matches the Rfam family "Bacterial small subunit ribosomal RNA", at positions 524 to 776 of the family's 1533-position model. The record is from RNAcentral.
AACGUAGGACACGAGCGUUAUCCGGAGUUACUGGGCGUAAAGCGCGCGUAGGUGGAACGUUAAGUCCGGUCUGAAAGCCCCCGGCUCAACCGGGGAGGGUGGCUGGAAACUGGCGUUCUUGAGGGCGAGAGAGGAGGGUGGAAUUCCUGGUGUAGCGGUGAAAUGCGUAGAGAUCAGGAGGAACACCGGUGGCGAAGGCGGCGUUCUGGACUGCAACUGACACUGAGGAACGAAAGCCAGGGGAGCAAACGGG